UGGACCAAUGAUGAGUACCAUGGGGUAUCUGAAACAGGAUUUUUUGAUUAAACCCAUAUGCAACUCUGAGGUCCGU
Carlito syrichta (Philippine tarsier) is the source of this 76-nucleotide small nucleolar RNA. The record is from Ensembl. Lineage: Eukaryota; Metazoa; Chordata; Mammalia; Primates; Tarsiidae.